Molecule: long non-coding RNA, 1389 nt
Organism: Daphnia pulex (common water flea)
Lineage: Eukaryota; Metazoa; Arthropoda; Branchiopoda; Diplostraca; Daphniidae
Exons: 5
Source: RefSeq, a predicted model, not a curated record
UAUAAGUAUAGGUAUAGGCAUAAACCCCAAAUUUUAUGGAGAUUACGAAUUUUUGUUUAAUUUGACGUCAGCUCAAUGGUUGAGGCGCUUUCACGAACUUCCGGUUUACUUCCGGAAAAUUUGCAUGAAACUAGCAAGUGAGCUUUGUUCUAUGUAUAGUUCUAAGGAUUGAGUGCUAAGGUUUAGCAAACAAAAAAGCACUUUUCAAGUUUUGUGAGUAUCUCAGGACCAGUCCUUCAAAUACUGAGUUUUGAGACGUGUCAAAUAGAUGGCGUGUUGUUUGUGUCAGUCAUGGGCUAAUGGCGGUUUGCUGUCAAAAGUUACGCUAUUUUUUCUUCGAAAAUAACCAAAUACCAAUGAAUUCAUAGGAGGAAACGUAAAAAAGUCGUGCAGCUUAACUGUCAACUAUUUUGUUCAAAAUCAUUGUGUUUUACUGAAUGUGCCAUCAAAAUGAUACAGGAUUCAACAUAAUUAUCUGCUGUGUGUAUUGGACUUGCUAGAUCACCAACCCCAGCAUGGAAAAAUCUCUCAUUCCAUCAUCUAGAGAACCUUAUCAUCUGGAUAACUGAUUAGUGUUUUCAUGUAUUCUAAACUGCUGGUUUCUGAAUUUGCGUGGCAGACUUUAUGAAAAGUCCUGUCAUUUCAAGAAAGUCAACAAGGUCCGUUGUUUGCUGACCCGUUGGCUCCUACCCUCGAAUCCUCCUUAUUGACUUCUUUACACAGGCCCUCCUGAUUUGAGGGUAAUCCUUCGAUACUUGUCAUGGACUUCAUCCACUGGUGAAAACCGAAGAGAGAAUGCUGUAAUCCAAGACUGAUAAAUUUUGUUGUUAGAUUCAAUUACAAGUGCAUAUCUGGGCUCCCUUCUUUUCUGUGGCCCCGUUUCCCUAACUAACCACUAACCAACGCCCGCCGGUGGUCACUCACCCGCUGUGAAACCAGGAGGAGGGGAGGGCUCUGGUCGAACGGGGACUUGGAAGGCACAUGAUCCGAUGAAAACUUUUGGAGGGUCAUGAGUCUAACCCGGAAGCCUAGUAUGACUACAUCUCCCCGGAAAAACUUGCCUCGUACUUCUCUCUUCUUCUCGGUCCAGAUACAUAUCUCUGGGGGCCGUAGACAUUUCCUAUAACAGCAUGUGCGAGUUAAAACAAUGCAUCCACUACCCAAUGAAACAAAUAGCCAUGGUUUAUUUUUUGUGAAAAUCUCCGUCAGUUAAGUUACAAAGACGAUGCAGAUUUCCGCAAAACUAAACCAUCGCUUUUUGUCUCAUUGCCGCAGCGGUGGUGGCGGGUUGCGUUUUAACUCGUGCAGUAGUAAACCGUCUUGAACCGGACGCUCUGUUUAUUGGAUUUUUUGAACAUUUUAAAAUGAAAAUAAAAAUUAUUUCAUACA